RNAcentral lists this ribosomal RNA (433 nucleotides) under uncultured bacterium. RNAcentral describes it as "partial 16S ribosomal RNA". It matches the Rfam family "Bacterial small subunit ribosomal RNA", at positions 29 to 507 of the family's 1533-position model. The record is from RNAcentral.
AACGAACGCUGGCGGCAGGCCUAACACAUGCAAGUCGAGCGGACCUUUCGGGGUCAGCGGCGGACGGGUGAGUAACGCGUGGGAAUAUGCCCUUCUCUACGGAAUAGUCCUGGGAAACUGGGGGUAAUACCGUAUACGCCCUUUGGGGGAAAGAUUUAUCGGGGAAGGAUUAGCCCGCGUUGGAUUAGGUAGUUGGUGGGGUAAUGGCCUACCAAGCCGACGAUCCAUAGCUGGUUUGAGAGGAUGAUCAGCCACACUGGGACUGAGACACGGCCCAGACUCCUACGGGAGGCAGCAGUGGGGAAUCUUAGACAAGGGGGGCAACCCUGAUCUAGCCAUGCCGCGUGAGUGAUGAAGGCCUUAGGGUUGUAAAGCUCUUUCAGCUGGGAAGAUAAUGACGGUACCGGCAGAAGAAGCCCAGGCUAACUCCGUG